AUAGUUGUUUUUUAGACAUGAUAAAUAAGUAUAAAAAAAGCCAUUCAGUACGUCAUUAAAACAUUCACCUUGAGCUAAAAGAAAAAAGAAACUAUUCAGUUAUUCUUUUGUUCUUAACUAUGCAAAGUAGUGUGUACUGUAGUGUCAUUUUCCGGGGGGAGGGAUUUAGUUGUGUUUUUGCAGGUUAUAAUACGGGUGUUCAUGGAUGUACUAGUGUGAAUAUCCCUGGAUAAAUUGUGCUGGUCAAACAAAUCCUGCUGAGCGUUAAUUUGCAAAACAAGGUGAAAAUAUUGACGCACUAGGGGAUCAGUUUUAUUGUGCCGUUUCAGGAGUGCUUUAACAAAACAAACAUAUAGUAGAUUGUGUUAUUGGGCAACAACUACAAGGUGUCCUGAUAAGGAGCGCAGGAGGUGGAUAAUGUUUGACAGGACUGUUGUGACGACGGAUCAAAGGUCCAAGUCUGUUUUCCUGUCAGAUCCACCUUCACACUUCAGAGGGAUUUCUGUCUGCCAGUGAGAGAAAAUCUGAUCCUGGCUUUCUAGUGCGUGGGAGCAUCCUGUCUGCAGCACCAUGGAGGAAUUGGCCUUCUACCCAGCGGUGGCACUGAUGUAUUUUUUCGGGGUGAUGAAAGCCACGCAGGACGAUCGGGUGGAGCUGGACGACCGGGCGUCAAAGAACGUGUUCUGCCUGUUCGUGCUGGCACAGCCGCUUUGUCUGGUCUUGGGAGGAUACACUGGCAUGGCUACAUACCUCCUCACAGCUCUAGUCUCCUACAACUUUCUGCCCUGGAGGAAUCAGCCUGCUAAGGGAAAAGAUUCAAAGAAGAAGACAAAGUGAGGAAAUGAAACAAACACUGAAUGGAGAAAGAGACAGUAGAUAUCAUUGGUUGGAAAAGAAAAAAUAUAGAAUGUAUAUGUAUGUAUAUAUAUAUAUAUAUAUAUAAUGUAAAGAAUAAGAUUUCCAGGUGAAACUGUUUUUAUAUAAGAAUAAAUCAAUGCGAUGGUCAACCAUGCGAUACAGUUUUUUUUUCAUCUGUGGUUGUAAACAUCUGUGAGAAGGUACUUUAUCCAGGAACAUUACGCUCUGUUCUGCAGAGGAAGUGACUCAUUAUUUCCUAAUGUAGCAAUGGGGUUUAUUUUAGACUAAUGGAAGGGUCAGCCGUAUAGCUGUAAUGGAGUCGGAUGAAAGUUCUGGAAAGUUUUAUAAAUCCCUGUGUGCCUUAAUUUUACAAAAAAUAUCAAAAGUUAUCAAUUUAGGCAAAAAAGCUUUUGACCAAAAUUAGAGAUUAUUAUGCAAAGUGAAGAACGCUCUUUUCUGUACUGUACAUUUAAAGAUGCCACUGGUAGGCGGUUAGUCUAGUUAACACAAAAAUGUAUAAAAGGGAAAUACUUACCCAGGUUAUAUUCCACAAAUCCAUCUACCGGCAAAUGUAAAGUGACAACAAAUGUCUUAUUUUUUCAUUAAAAAAUAAAUACAUAACUGAAAAAGAACAACCUGUUGUUUCCACACCUCAGCUUUUGUACAGAGGGUUUAUGUGCUGCAUUAGUUAUUGGUUGCUUCUUUUAGUAUAUCAUUUAUUAUGUAAUGAUCAAAAGCUUUAUAGGUGCUGGUAGGCAGACCUUGUUACAUAGUGACUGAUAUAAGUGGUAUACAUUUGUACAUUACAUUCUCUACAAGAAAAGGAAUAAACAUAUUACCCAAAAGGGGAAAAUAUUAUUUUAAGUGUGGAACUACUAAGUCAUAUCAAUUUAACACCAUUAUACCUCAAUGGAUACCAAAUUUACCAUGAACGUGACCAUUUUUUGAAUACAUGUAAUAUUAAAUACCACUUCACAAGCUCCUCCUGUAAAUUCUACCCAAAAGACAUUAUUCUCUAAUAAUAACAGUGUUGUGUUUUUAAUUAUCCACCCAUGUUCAGAAAUGACUGUGUCCCUCUGAUGUGUUAAAACUGGUAGUGUGGCGACUCUGUGUGUGUGUGUCGGGCUCAAAGAGAGAGUGUAUAAUGGGAUUAGACCGUGCUAUUUAGUUGAUAGUCCGAGGCUUUGUUCAACAUGCAGAUGCUCGCUGUGUGUAUCUGAGAAACAGUGGGGAUUUUUUUAUUAAAGAUGUUCAUGACUU
Long non-coding RNA from Eleginops maclovinus (Patagonian blennie), 2118 nucleotides. RefSeq lists it as uncharacterized. The transcript has 2 exons. The record is from RefSeq and is a predicted model, not a curated record. NCBI's taxonomy places the organism in Eukaryota, Metazoa, Chordata, Actinopteri, Perciformes, Eleginopidae.